UACGGAGGGGGCUAGCGUUGUUCGGGAUUACUGGGCGUAAAGGGCGCGUAGGCGGCGUCGUAAGUCAGGCGUGAAAGGCCCGGGCUCAACCCGGGAACUGCGCUUGAUACUGCGGCGCUCGAGUCCGGGAGAGGAUGGCGGAAUUCCCAGUGUAGAGGUGAAAUUCGUAGAUAUUGGGAAGAACACCGGUGGCGAAGGCUGCCAUCUGGACCGGUACUGACGCUAAUGCGCGAAAGCGGGGGGAGCAAACAGG
Molecule: ribosomal RNA, 253 nt
Filed under: uncultured bacterium
Lineage: Bacteria
Description: partial 16S ribosomal RNA
Rfam family: Bacterial small subunit ribosomal RNA
Source: RNAcentral